AUACCCCCUUUCACUUUGCCAGUUGGACUUAUGUCUUUAUUGGCCAUUCAAGUGGGGCAAAGGAAAUGCCCAUUUAAAACCCAGGCAAACUUAGUGUUGUCUUAUAACCUGUCUAGGGAAACAUUA
This is a small nucleolar RNA of Jaculus jaculus (lesser Egyptian jerboa), 126 nucleotides long. RefSeq annotates it as small nucleolar RNA SNORA27. The transcript has a single exon. The record is from RefSeq and is a predicted model, not a curated record. Lineage: Eukaryota; Metazoa; Chordata; Mammalia; Rodentia; Dipodidae.